ACUGUAGGUUAUUCUCCAUAUGGCUGAGUUGACUGUUCAGCUACAUGCUACUGUAGGUUAUUCUCCAUAUGGCUGAGUUGACUGUUCAGCUACUGUAGGUUAUUCUCCAUAUGGCUGAGUUGACUGUUCAGCUACUGUAGGUUAUUCUCCAUAUGGCUGAGUUGACUGUUCAGCUACUGUAGGUUAUUCUCCAUAUGGCUGAGUUGACUGUUCAGCUACAUGCUACUGUAGUUUACUCUCCACAAUGGCUGAGCUGACUGUUCAGCUACUGUAGUUUACUCUCCUAUAUGGCUGAGUUGACUGUUCAGCUACAUGCUACUGUAGGUUACUCUCCCAUAUGGCUGAGUUGACUGUUCAGCUACAUGCUACUGUAGGUUAUUCUCCAUAUGGCUGAGCUGACUGUUCAGCUACUGUAGUUUACUCUCCCAUAUGGCUGAGUUGACUGUUCACCUACAUGCUACUGUAGGUUAUUCUCCCAUAUGGCUGAGUUGACUGUUCAGCUACUGUAGGUUAUUCUCCAUACGGCUGGGUUGACUGUUCAGCUACUGUAGGUUAUUCUACAUAUGGCUGAGUUGACUGUUCAGCUACAUGCUACUGUAGGUUAUUCUCCCAUAUGGCUGAGUUGACUGUUCAGCUACAUGCUACUGUAGGUUAUUCUCCCAUAUGGCUGAGUUGACUGUUCAGCUACAUGCUACUGUAGGUUAUUCUCCCAUACGGCUGAGUUGACUGUUCAGAUACUGUAGGUUAUUCUCCAUACAGCUGAGUUGACUGUUCAGCUACUGUAGGUUAUCCUCCAUACGGCUGAGUUGACUGUUCAGCUACUGUAGGUAUUUCUCCAUAUGGCUGAGUUGACUGUUCAACUACUGUAGGUUAUUCUCCAUACGGCUGAGUUGACUGUUCAGCUACAUGCUACUGUCGGUUAUUCUCCCAUAUGGCUGAGUUGACUGUUCAGCUACAUGCUACUGUAGGUUAUUCUCCCAUAUGGCUGAGUUGACUGUUCAGCUACAUGCUACUGUAGGUUAUUCUCCCAUAUGGCUGAGUUGACUGUUCAGCUACAUGCUACUGUAGGUUAUUCUCCCAUACGGCUGAGUUGACUGUUCAGCUACUGUAGGUUAUUCUCCAUAUGUCUGAGUUGACUGUUCAGCUACAUGCUACUGUAGGUUAUUCUCCAUAUGGCUGAGCUGACUGUUCAGCUACUGUAGGUAUUUCUCCAUAUGGCUGAGUUGACUGUUCAGAUACUGUAGGUUAUUCUCCAUAUGGCUGAGUUGACUGUUCAACUACUGUAGGUUAUUCUCCAUAUGGCUGGGUUGACUGUUCAGCUACUGUAGGUUAUUCUCCAUAUGGCUGAGUUGACUGUUCAGCUACAUGCUACUGUAGGUUAUACUCCAUAUGGCUGAGUUGACUGUUCAGCUACAUGCUACUGUAGGUUAUUCUCCAUAUGGCUGAGUUGACUGUUCGGCUACAUGCUACUGUAGGUUACUCUCCCAUACGGCUGAGUUGACUGUUCAGCUACUGUAGGUUAUUCUCCAUAUGGCUGAGUUGACUGUAUAGCCACUGUAGGUUAUUCUCCAUACGGCUGAGUUGACUGUUCAGCUUCUGUAGGUUAUUCUCCCAUAUGGCUGAGUUGACUGUUCAGCUACAUGCUACUGUAGGUUAUUGUCACAUAUGGCUGAGUUGACUGUUCAGCUACAUGCUACUGUAGGUUAUUCUCCAUAUGGCUGAGUUGACUGUUCAACUACUGUAGGUUAUUCUCCAUACGGCUGGGUUGACUGUUCAGCUACUGUAGGUUAUUCUCCAUAUGGCUGAGUUGACUGUUCGGCUACUGUAGAUUAUUCUCCAUAUGGCUGUGUUGACUGUUCAGCUACAUGCUACUGUAGGUUAUUCUCCAAAACGGCUGAGUUGACUGUUCAGCUACUGUAGGUUAUUCUCCAUAUGGUUGAGUUGACUGUUCAGCCACUGUAGGUUAUUCUCCAUAUGGCUGAGUUGACUGUUCAGCUACUGUAGGUUAUUCUCCCAUAUGGCUGAGUUGACUGUUCAGCUACAUCCUACUGUAGGUUAUUCUCCAUAUGGCUGAGUUGACUGUUCAAGUACUGUAGGUUAUUCUCCAUAUGGCUGAGUUGACUGUUCGGCUACUGUAGGUUAUUCUCCAUAUGGCUGAGUUGACUGUUCAGGUACAUGCUACUGUAGG
This 2188-nucleotide long non-coding RNA is filed under the name Salmo salar (Atlantic salmon). RNAcentral's name for it is "lncRNA (ENSSSAG00000109478.1)". Lineage: Eukaryota; Metazoa; Chordata; Actinopteri; Salmoniformes; Salmonidae. The record is from RNAcentral.